AAAGAAAAGGCUCCUUGAUCAUACCAGUGAUUUGGGAGCGCCUGGUGUAUUCUCCAACGCAGGCUUCAGCUCUGCUUUUUAAGAACUCAUCUGGAAGAAAAGUGCUGGUGCAAUGGGACUUUCCUGCAACCUCAUUAAUCUGUGUCACCACUGUCAGUGAGAGCUUCUGCUGCCUGGUUGCUGGGAGAUGGAAUAAAUUCAUGCUUCAGAAUACCUUGGGCUGGCAGGGAAGUGUUCUUGUGCUCAGGUCCUGCUUGCAGGCUUUCUGCAGGCAUCUGUUCUGCCACUGUGAGAACAGGACGCUGGACUAGUUCAGCAAGCCCUGCUUACGUUCAUAUGCUUGAAGCAUCUAGCUCUCCCCAAUAUCCUGCUCUGUGCUUCCAGUCAUCAUCCACAU
Molecule: non-coding RNA, 397 nt
Organism: Zootoca vivipara (common lizard)
Lineage: Eukaryota; Metazoa; Chordata; Lepidosauria; Squamata; Lacertidae
Source: RefSeq, a predicted model, not a curated record